AGAUUGAACGCUGGCGGCAUGCCUUACACAUGCAAGUCGAACGGCAGCACGGGAGCAAUCCUGGUGGCGAGUGGCGAACGGGUGAGUAAUAUAUCGGAGCGUGCCCAGUCGUGGGGGAUAACGUAGAGAAAUUUACGCUAAUACCGCAUACGAUCCAAGGAUGAAAGCGGGGGACCGUAAGGCCUCGCGCGACUGGAGCGGCUGAUAUCAGAUUAGCUUGUUGGUGAGGUAAAAGCUCACCAAGGCGACGAUCUGUAGCUGGUUUGAGAGAACGACCAGCCACACU
RNAcentral lists this ribosomal RNA (286 nucleotides) under uncultured soil bacterium. RNAcentral describes it as "partial 16S ribosomal RNA". It matches the Rfam family "Bacterial small subunit ribosomal RNA", at positions 26 to 314 of the family's 1533-position model. The record is from RNAcentral.